AUUGAACGCUGGCGGCAGGCUUAACACAUGCAAGUCGAGCGGGGUGAUGGUGCUUGCACUAUCACUUAGCGGCGGACGGGUGAGUAAUGCUUAGGAAUCUGCCUAUUAGUGGGGGACAACAUCUCGAAAGGGAUGCUAAUACCGCAUACGUCCUACGGGAGAAAGCAGGGGAUCACUUGUGACCUUGCGCUAAUAGAUGAGCCUAAGUCGGAUUAGCUAGUUGGUGGGGUAAAGGCCUACCAAGGCGACGAUCUGUAGCGGGGCUGAGAGGAUGGUCCGACACAAUGGGACUGAGACACGGGCCAGACUCCUUCGGGAGGCAGCAGUGGGGAAUAUUGGACAAUGGGGGUAACCCUGAUCCAGCCAUGCCGCGUGUGUGAAGAAGGCCUUAUGGUUGUAAAGCACUUUAAGCGAGGAGGAGGCUCUUUUGGUUAAUACCCAAGAUGAGUGGACGUUACUCGCAGAAUAAGCACCGGCUAACUCUGUGCCAGCCGCCGCGGUAA
Molecule: ribosomal RNA, 503 nt
Filed under: uncultured bacterium
Lineage: Bacteria
Description: partial 16S ribosomal RNA
Rfam family: Bacterial small subunit ribosomal RNA
Source: RNAcentral